This is a long non-coding RNA of Medicago truncatula (barrel medic), 544 nucleotides long. RefSeq lists it as uncharacterized. The record is from RefSeq and is a predicted model, not a curated record. The transcript is spliced from 4 exons. NCBI's taxonomy places the organism in Eukaryota, Viridiplantae, Streptophyta, Magnoliopsida, Fabales, Fabaceae.
AAGUCAUGUUUCAGAUUUUGAGUUUGGGGAGCUUACCAAACACGCUAACAAGUCUCUCUCAUACCGUCUUUAUAAGUCUAUGUUUACAUGAAUAUUUUUCUACUAAAUGUUCACAAGUCACAACAAAACAACUAGUACGUACCACUGUCAAUGUUCUUCUUUCUACCAUAGCUUAAAAUUAACCCUAAGAGCUACCUCUACCUCAGGUAAUAGCUUGUUGAACAUCUUCAUCGAAACUUUUGAAGAUCUGAUGAUGAUGAUGUUGUCGAUUAUCAGUGGGGUGUGCUUCGAUUGGUUCAUCAGCAUUGAUAUUUUACUUAUUUCAGCCACCGUAAUUUCCUUGAUUAAUCAGGUCGUGUAGCAUGCAAUAACACAGUUGUCUAGUAGCAUGAUUCUUUAUUUUUGCAGGAAUUUAAACUAUUAACAGCAUAAAGUCACAAUUAUUGAGAUUCUGCAUGUUUUUGAUGCACUUCAAAAAGGGAUGAAUUUCAUUACAUGCUGAAAGAGCUAGAUCAUCACACCUGCGUGUAAAAUGAUAUAUAUU